Non-coding RNA from Clarias gariepinus (North African catfish), 552 nucleotides. NCBI's taxonomy places the organism in Eukaryota, Metazoa, Chordata, Actinopteri, Siluriformes, Clariidae. The record is from the annotation of a RefSeq genome assembly.
AUGAUCACACUCUUUGUGGCUCUUUACUCUCUGCUUUGUCUUUGCACAACUGGAAACACUUCUGUCAUCAAGGAGCUUCAAGUGAAAACAGUAAAGCGUGAAGAAGCUGUAACUAUGGAGUGUAACAUUAGUGAGGUCAAAAACAAAAAUAGUUUAGCUUGGUACAGACAGAGUUUUGGAAAAGUGCCUCAGUUUUUGGCGAGACAAUACAGUAACCCUCAGGGCUACAUAUUUGCUGAGGGAUUUACUGAUAGUCGCUUCAGUGUUACUGUAAAGGACCAAAAGUUUGAUCUCAAAAUUAACAACAUGAGAGAAGAUGAUAAAGGAGAAUAUUUCUGUGGAGAAGUUGAUGAAAAUUCACUGAAGUUCACAUCUGGAACACGUCUGCAGUUUGAAGGUGAAGAGAUGAAACCCUGUCCUACACCUGGAACACUUAACAAGAACACACACUCUGUUACACACCAGGGUUCAAACAGCAGUGAUGGAGAAGGAAAAACUUCUGAUAUGAAGAAUCUUCACGUGAAAAUAGUAAAACUUGGAGAAGAUGUGUGA